Molecule: microRNA precursor, 127 nt
Filed under: Hordeum vulgare
Lineage: Eukaryota; Viridiplantae; Streptophyta; Magnoliopsida; Poales; Poaceae
Description: microRNA MIR1122
Rfam family: MIR1120/MIR1122 microRNA precursor family
Source: RNAcentral
UAAGUACUCACUCCCUUUCAAAUUAUUUGUCAUGAUAAUGGAUAUAUCUAGAUGUAUUUUUUAAUUCUGGAUACAUCAAUUUCUAUCCAUUUUCACGACAAAUAAUUUGGGAUGAAGGGAGUACUCG